CCCCUCUCGGAAUGGCACCUGGAGAGUUUCCAGUACUCUACCAGUCUCGGCUAUGGGAGGGAGAGUCUAGCGGAGGCCUGCCAAUUCCAUUCCUAGCUUGGGCAGUGGCUAGUGAGCAGAAGGCAAUCUGCUACAAGG
This is a small nucleolar RNA of Tachyglossus aculeatus (Australian echidna), 138 nucleotides long. The record is from RefSeq and is a predicted model, not a curated record. NCBI's taxonomy places the organism in Eukaryota, Metazoa, Chordata, Mammalia, Monotremata, Tachyglossidae.